This is an RNA transcript of Nycticebus coucang (slow loris), 2282 nucleotides long. It is a transcript of the gene named phosphatidylinositol 3-kinase regulatory subunit alpha-like, with no coding region annotated. The transcript has 3 exons. The record is from RefSeq and is a predicted model, not a curated record. Lineage: Eukaryota; Metazoa; Chordata; Mammalia; Primates; Lorisidae.
AUGAAUGCCGAGGGGUACCAGUACAGAGUGCUGUAUGACUAUAAGAAGGAGAGAGAAGAAGAUAUUGACUUGCACUUGGGGGAUGUAUUGGUUGUGAACAAAGGGUCCUUAGUAGCUCUUGGAUUCAAUGAGCCAGGCCUGAAGAAAUUGGCUGGUUAAAUGGCUAUAAUGAAACCACAGGGGAGGGGGGAGACUUUCCAGGAACUUAUGUUGAAUAUAUUGGAAGGAAGAAAAUCUCGCCUCCCACACCAAAGCCCCGGCCACCUCGGCCCCUUCCUUUUGCACCAGGUUCUUCGAAAACUGAAGCAGACGUUGAGCAACAACCUUUGACGCUCCUGGACCUUGCCGAGCAGUUUGCCCCUCCUGACGUUGCCCCCCUUCUUCUUAUCAAGCUCGUGGAAGCCAUUGAAAAGAAAGGUCUGGAGUGUUCAACUCUAUACAGAACACAGAGCUCUAGCAACCCUGCAGAAUUACAACAGCUUCUUGAUUGUGAUACGACCUCUGUGCACUUGGAAAUGAUUGAUGUGCACAUUUUAGCAGAUGCUUUCAAACGCUAUCUCCUGGACUUGCCGAACCCUGUGAUCCCAGUAGCCGUUUACAGUGAAAUGAUUUCCCUAGCCCCAGAAAUACAAAGCUCUGAAGAAUAUAUCCAGCUUUUGAAGAAGUUCAUUAGGUCGCCAAACAUACCUCAUCAGUAUUGGCUCACACUUCAGUAUUUGUUAAAAAAUUUCUUCAAGCACUCUCAAGUCUCCAGCAAAAACCUUCUGACUGCAAGAGUGCUCUCAGAAAUAUUUAGCCCUAUGUUUUUCCGAUUUCCAGCACCUAGCUCUGAUAAUACUGAACACCUCGUAAAAGUUAUAGAAAUUUUAAUCUCAACUGAAUGGAAUGAAUGACAGCCUUGCACCAGCAUUGCCUCCUAAACCUCCAAAACCCACUACUGUAGCCAACAACAGUAUGAAUAACAAUAUGUCCUUACAAGAUGCAGAAUGGUACUGGGGAGAUAUCUUGAGGGAAGAAGUGAAUGAAAAACUUGAAGAUACAGCUGAUGGGACCUUUUUGGUACGAGAUGCAUCUACUAAAAUGCAUGGUGAUUAUACUCUUACACUAAGGAAAGGAGGAAAUAACAAAUUAAUCAAAAUAUUUCACCGAGAUGGGAAAUACGGCUUCUCUGAUCCCUUAACCUUCAAUUCUGUGGUUGAACUAAUAAACCACUACAGGAAUGAAUCUCUAGCUCAGUAUAAUCCCAAAUUGGAUGUGAAAUUACUUUAUCCAGUAUCCAAAUAUCAACAGGAUCAAGUUGUCAAAGAAGAUAAUAUUGAAGCUGUAGGGAAAACAAUUACAUGAAUAUAACACUCAGUUUCAAGAAAAAAGUCGGGAAUGUGAUAGAUUAUAUGAAGAAUAUACCCGUACUUCCCAGGAAAUCCAAAUGAAAAGAACAGCUAUUGAAGCAUUUAACGAAACCAUAAAAAUAUUUGAAGAACAGUGCCAAACCCAGGAGCGUUACAGCAAAGAAUAUAUAGAAAAGUUUAAAUGUGAAGGCAAUGAGAAAGAAAUACAAAGGAUCAUGCAUAAUUAUGAUAAGUUAAAGUCUCGGGCGGCCGAAAUUAUUGACAGCAGGAGACGGCUAGAGGAAGAUUUGAAGAAGCAGGCAGCUGAGUACCGAGAGAUUGAUAAACGUAUGAACAGCAUCAAGCCUGACCUCAUUCAGCUGAGAAAGACGAGAGACUAAUACCUGAUGUGGAUGACUCAAAAAGGUGUUCGGCAGAAGAAGUUGAAUGAGUGGCUAGGCAAUGAAAACACUGAGGACCAAUAUUCACUGGUGGAAGAUGAUGAGGAUUUGCCCCACCAUGACCAGAAGAUGUGGAAUGUCGGGAGUAGCAACCGAAACAAAGCGGAAAACCUGUUGCGAGGGAAACCGAACGGCACUUUUCUUGUCCGGGAGAGCAGUAAACAGGGUUGCUACACCUGCUCCGUAGUGGUGGAUGGUGAAGUGAAGCAUUGUGUCAUAAACAAAACAGCAACUGGCUAUGGGUUUGCUGAGCUCUAUAACCUGUACAGCUCUCUGAAGGAACUGGUGCUACAUUACCAACACACCUCUCUCGUGCAGCACGACUCCCUCAACGUCACACUAGCCUACCCAGUAUAUGCACAGCAGAAGCGAUGAAGCGCUUACUCUCGGAUCCUUCUCCUGAAGUUCAACCACCUGAGGCCUCUGGAAAGCAAAGGGCUCCUCUCCAGCCUGACCUGUGAAUUGAGCUGCAGAAAUGAAGCCUUCUGUCUUC